GCUGGAUGUGGUGGCACACACCUGUAAUUCCAGUAGCUCAGAAGGCUGAGACAAGAGAAUUGCAAGUUCAAAGCCAGCCUCAGCAAUUUAGUGAGGCCCUAAGCAACUUAGCAAGACCUUGUCUCAA
RNAcentral lists this small RNA (127 nucleotides) under Marmota monax (woodchuck). The record is from RNAcentral. Lineage: Eukaryota; Metazoa; Chordata; Mammalia; Rodentia; Sciuridae.